RNAcentral lists this ribosomal RNA (615 nucleotides) under uncultured Actinomycetes bacterium. RNAcentral describes it as "bacterial SSU rRNA". It matches the Rfam family "Bacterial small subunit ribosomal RNA", at positions 793 to 1408 of the family's 1533-position model. The record is from RNAcentral. Lineage: Bacteria; Bacillati; Actinomycetota; Actinomycetes.
GUCCACGCCGUAAACGGUGGGCGCUAGUUGUGGGAACCUUCAACGGUUUCCGCGACGCAGCUAACGCAUUAAGCGCCCCGCAUGGGGAGUACGAUCGCAAGAUUAAAACUCAAAGGAAUUGACGGGGCCCCGCACAAGCAGCGGAGCAUGCGGCUUAAUUCGACGCAACGCGAAGAACCUUACCAAGGCUUGACAUAUACAGGAAUAUGGCAGAGAUGUCAUAGCGGUAAAACGUCUGUAUACAGGUGGUGCAUGGUUGUCGUCAGCUCGUGUCGUGAGAUGUUGGGUUAAGUCCCGCAACGAGCGCAACCCUCGUUCUGUGUUGCCAGCAUUUAGUUGGGGACUCACGGGAGACUGCCGGGGUUAACUCGGAGGAAGGUGGGGAUGACGUCAAAUCAUCAUGCCCCUUAUGUCUUGGGCUGCACGCAUGCUACAAUGGCUGGUACAAAGGGCUGCAAUACUGCAAAGUGGAGCGAAUCCCAAAAAGCCAGUCUCAGUUCGGAUUGGGGUCUGCAACUCGACCCCAUGAAGUCGGAGUUGCUAGUAAUCGUGGAUCAGCAACGCUACGGUGAAUACGUUCCCGGGGCUUGUACACACCGCCCGUCACAUCACGAA